UGUUAGCUGCAGUAUUAAAAAAUAUUAGGUCAAUCUCAAAAAAAUAUCUUAAAUUUGUAUUUAAUACGAAACUGUUGAAUGGCUCGGAUAAUUAAAAUCCCUCCCUGUAUCAACUAUGAAGUCUUAGAUAUGGUGGAGAAUUGGCAUCAAAAGUUUCAAGACAACUCAAAAUGUCUCGAUGCUAAUUCAGUUUGUAGAGGAUAGCUAUGUCAGGGUGGCAACCGAUUGUAUGGUUCAUAUAGGAAACAGAAACAACAAAUCUUCAAGAGAGUUCUCAAUAAAAUGAUAAUUGUACAAGUGUAUUACUCAUCUUUAUUUCAUUUAGUAAACUGGUUCAAUAUUUCAGAACCAAUAUAUAUAUAAAAUUUUUCUUCUAAAAAAGUGUUGUUGGCUUCGAAAGUUUUGAUAGUUUUUAUCAGCUGAACGGUAAAUUAUAAUAUGAUUAUCAGAAAAAAUGAAAGGUUUCUCGAAAAUAGUUAAAAACCAUA
This 488-nucleotide long non-coding RNA is filed under the name Mytilus galloprovincialis (Mediterranean mussel). The record is from RNAcentral. Lineage: Eukaryota; Metazoa; Mollusca; Bivalvia; Mytilida; Mytilidae.